AUGAAUAACGAAGUGGAAGCUAGCCUGAAUAAAGAUCAAAUCUUUUGCUUGGUUGAGGUAUUGGGCCACAGCAGCUGAUCUGAACUCUGACUAGGUAUUGGGCCACAACAGCUGAUCUGAACUCUGAAGUUGCUAGAGCAUCAACAACACCAAAACUGAAGUUGGGAGGUUGAGCUCUUUAUGAAGAUUCCGUUGAUUGUUGUCGGAGAUUCAAGGCAAAUAACUUUCUUUUAGA
Long non-coding RNA from Papaver somniferum (opium poppy), 235 nucleotides. RefSeq lists it as uncharacterized. Lineage: Eukaryota; Viridiplantae; Streptophyta; Magnoliopsida; Ranunculales; Papaveraceae. The record is from RefSeq and is a predicted model, not a curated record. The transcript is spliced from 3 exons.